UCGGGAAUUUUGCGCAAUGGACGAAAGUCUGACGCAGCAACGCCGCGUGAGGGAUGAAGGCCUUCGGGUUGUAAACCUCUUUUCUCAGGGACGAUAAUGACGGUACCUGAGGAAUAAGCCACGGCUAACUACGUGCCAGCAGCCGCGGUAAUACGUAGGUGGCGAGCGUUGUCCGGAUUUACUGGGCGUAAAGAGCGCGCAGGCGGUCGUGCAAGUCGCGUGUGAAAGCCCCCGGCUCAACUGGGGAGGGUCACGCGAUACUGUUCGACUUGAAGGCAGGAGAGGGAAGUGGAAUUCCCGGUGUAGUGGUGAAAUGCGUAGAUAUCGGGAGGAACACCAGUGGCGAAGGCGACUUCCUGGCCUGUUCUUGACGCUGAGGCGCGAAAGCUAGGGUAGCAAACGGGAUUAGAUACCCCGGUAGUCCUAGCCGUAAACGAUGGACACUAGGUGUUGGUGGUAUCAACCCCGCAGUGCCGAAGCUAACGCAUUAAGU
This 493-nucleotide ribosomal RNA is filed under the name uncultured Acidobacteriota bacterium. Its description in RNAcentral is "bacterial SSU rRNA". It matches the Rfam family "Bacterial small subunit ribosomal RNA", at positions 355 to 865 of the family's 1533-position model. Lineage: Bacteria; Pseudomonadati; Acidobacteriota. The record is from RNAcentral.